Long non-coding RNA from Helicoverpa armigera (cotton bollworm), 786 nucleotides. RefSeq lists it as uncharacterized. The record is from RefSeq and is a predicted model, not a curated record. Lineage: Eukaryota; Metazoa; Arthropoda; Insecta; Lepidoptera; Noctuidae. The transcript has 3 exons.
UUCAACUUUAUUGAAGUUUACAUUUCAUUUUUGUAUUUGUGUUUAUUUUUUAUUUUAUUUAUUUUUUUAUUCGAAGUAUAUUUUAUUAUUUAAUAACAUGUGUGGCGGUUGUUCCGCUGCGUGUGGCAACCAAAUUGGGAAUGUAGUAUACGUCCUUGAAAAAUUAGCAUCCUUUGCCGCGCUAACAGCAAUUGUGUUAUGCAUCAUAACCACAGUCGCCAUUUCUCUGGGCCUAGGGGUCGGACUCGGCUACAAUUAUUGCUACGUUGACUUGAAAGUUAUGACAGAGGAGCCACUAGCAGCAAACUCAGCAAAUUUAUUAAGGACGAUGGAGGAACCUACAGAUCUACCACCAAAUUUCAGGCGGUCUCAGGGCACAUCAGCUCGGCGAACAAUGGCAUUGCCCCCGAUUAAAAAUACCAUGGCAUUGCCACUAAACGGGGAAUACGACUUUCCCUCGUUGAUAUCGAAGCUGAGGUCCCGCAACAAAAAUGUUACCCUAGAAUUAAUUACGUGAUUUAUUGAUCAUGUAUUCUAUGGUGCUUUCAUAUUUUGUAGUUAUUUAUUUGUCUACUUUUUAUACUUUAUAUUUUGUUUAACGUUUAUACUUUAUAUUUUGUUUAACGUUUAUAAUUUAUAUUUUGUUUUACGUUUAUACUUUAUAUUUUGUUUUGUGUUUAUACUUUAUAUUUUGUUUUACGUUUAUACGUUUAUUUUAAUGGUUUACACUUUUUAUUAUUGUAAUUCGUUUUAUUCAUUUGUAUACACAUUAUUUACAUUUUUAAA